RNAcentral lists this transfer RNA (72 nucleotides) under Clostridium sp. CAG:307. It matches the Rfam family "tRNA". From Rfam's summary of the family: Transfer RNA (tRNA) molecules are approximately 80 nucleotides in length. Their secondary structure includes four short double-helical elements and three loops (D, anti-codon, and T loops). The record is from Rfam by way of RNAcentral. Lineage: Bacteria; Bacillati; Bacillota; Clostridia; Eubacteriales; Clostridiaceae.
GGCCUGGUAGCCAAGUGGUAAGGCAAGGCACUGCAACUGCCUGAUGCGGGGGUUCAAAUCCGUCCCGGGCCU